AUGGUUUGCUGCCUUUCCGGAAAUCUGGGGCAGGGGCUGCGAGGCUGUCGUCGAAUAAAAAAAGAGAAAUGUUGGGUUAAGUGCCGCAACGAGGGCACCCCUUAUCCUUUGUUGCCAUCGGUCCGGCCGGGAACUCAAAGGAGACUGCCAGUGAUAAACUGGAGGAAGGUGGGGAUGACGUCAAGUCAUCAUGGGCCUUACCAGUAGGGCUACACACGUGCUACAAUGGCGCAUACAAAGAGAAGCGACCUCGCGAGAGCAAGCGGACCUCAUAAAGUGCGUCGUAGUCCGGAUUGGAGUCUGCAACUCGACUCCAUGAAGUCGGAAUCGCUAGUAAUCGUAGAUCAGAAUGCUACGGUGAAUACGUUCCCGGGUCUUGUUCAC
RNAcentral lists this ribosomal RNA (384 nucleotides) under Enterobacter sp. MP17. RNAcentral describes it as "bacterial SSU rRNA". It matches the Rfam family "Bacterial small subunit ribosomal RNA", at positions 1006 to 1388 of the family's 1533-position model. The record is from RNAcentral. Lineage: Bacteria; Pseudomonadati; Pseudomonadota; Gammaproteobacteria; Enterobacterales; Enterobacteriaceae.